GGAGUUAGCCGGUGCUUCUUCUGCGAGUAACGUCACAGAUGUAAGGUAUUAACUUACACCCUUUCCUCCUCGCUGAAAGUGCUUUACAACCCGAAGGCCUUCUUCACACACGCGGCAUGGCUGCAUCAGGGUUUUCCCCCAUUGUGCAAUAUUCCCCACUGCUGCCUCCCGUAGGAGUCUGGGCCGUGUCUCAGUCCCAGUGUGGCUGAUCAUCCUCUCAGACCAGCUAGGGAUCGUCGCCUAGGUGAGCCUUUACCUCACCUACUAGCUAAUCCCACCUGGGCUUAUCCAUCAGCGCAAGGCCCGAAGGUCCCCUGCUUUCCCCCGGUAGGGCGUAUGCGGUAUUAGCAGUCGUUUCCAACUGUUAUCCCCCACAAAUGGGCAAAUUCCCAGGCAUUACUCACCCGUCCGCCGCUCGUCAUCUUCAAAAGCAAGCUUUUGAAAUGUUACCGCUCGACUUGCAUGUGUUAGGCCUGCCGCCAGCGUUCAAUCUGAGCCAGGAUCAAACCUCUGA
Molecule: ribosomal RNA, 514 nt
Filed under: uncultured bacterium
Lineage: Bacteria
Description: partial 16S ribosomal RNA
Source: RNAcentral